This 557-nucleotide long non-coding RNA is filed under the name Capsicum annuum. RNAcentral describes it as "long non-coding RNA (CANN_LNC007369)". The record is from RNAcentral. Lineage: Eukaryota; Viridiplantae; Streptophyta; Magnoliopsida; Solanales; Solanaceae.
UGAAAGUUCUUUAUCUUUCAACGGUUCUAUCAGAUUUUUAUUUUUGAAGCUUGAACCAACAAUGGACACCAGAUCAUCACGAUCACUCGACUUGCCUUUGUCUUUUUUGGGUGUGCAGGGUGCUUUUUUUGGGUCAGAGUAGGUAUAACUUGAAAAGGAGAAGGAGGAUAACAUUUUAGUCCGGUAGCUAUGGCAAACUCCUUCCAACCAAAACAAACAGGCAUGCCAAAGUAAUUUAUCCACACCUCAUCCAUCUUAUCUUUAUUUUCAUACAUAAACAUGCGCUUGAGAAGAUUAUGUACCAUUUUUAUCUGGAAAUGAGCUGUCCUCCAACAAAUCAAGAUAUUGCCCAAAACAAUUUUUCCUGAAAUAAGAAUCCAAUUUUUGUUCUUGAAGUAUUUUUCUGAAGGCGUCGAAAGAUUUUUCCAUGACUGAUUUAACCAUGAGAUCACCCGUUAAAUCUGUAGCACUAUCGCACUGCAUUCUCACAGGAUAAUGAUCAAUGCUGAAGGUUUUGACCAACUCUUCGGAGGAAGGGCUAUUAGAGUUUGAAUCAU